UACCGCCCUAGUUCUGACCGUAAACUAUGCCAUCUAGCGAUCCGAUGGGGUAUUGUUGCCUUGUCGAGGAGCUUCCCGGAAACGAAAGUCUUUCGGUUCCUGGGGUAGUAUGGUUGCAAAGCUGAAACUUAAAGAAAUUGACGGAAUGGCACCACCAGGAGUGGAGCCUGCGGCUUAAUUUGACUCAACACGGGAAAACUCACCCGGCCCGGACACCGUAAGGAUUGACAGAUUGAAAGCUCUUUCUCGAUUUGGUGGUUGGUGGUGCAUGGCCGUUCUUAGUUGGUGGAGCGAUUUGUCUGGUUUAUUCCGAUAACGAGCGAGACUCUAGCCUGCUAAAUAGUGGCUGGAUUUUCACGUCCAGUCUACUUCUUAGAGGGAUAAGCGGUGUUUAGCCGCACGAGAUUGAGCGAUAACAGGUCUGUGAUGCCCUUAGAUGUCCGGGGCUGCACGCGCGCUACAAUGGAAGAAUCAGCUGGCCUAUCCAUUGCCGAAAGGCAUUGGUAAACCGUUGAAACUCUUCCGUGACCGGGAUAGGGAAUUGUAAUUAUUUCCCUUGAACGAGGAAUUCCUAGUAAGUGUGAGUCAUCAGCUCACGCUGAUUACGUCC
RNAcentral lists this ribosomal RNA (610 nucleotides) under Uncinaria stenocephala. RNAcentral describes it as "SSU rRNA". It matches the Rfam family "Eukaryotic small subunit ribosomal RNA", at positions 1013 to 1652 of the family's 1831-position model. The record is from RNAcentral. Lineage: Eukaryota; Metazoa; Nematoda; Chromadorea; Rhabditida; Ancylostomatidae.